UACGAACCGUCCUAACGUUAUUCGGAAUCACUGGGCUUAAAGGGUGCGUAGGCGGCCCGAUAAGUUGGGUGUGAAAUCCCUCGGCUCAACCGAGGAAUUGCGCUCAAAACUGUCGGGCUCGAGGAAGAUAGAGGUAAGCGGAACUUAGGGUGGAGCGGUGAAAUGCGUUGAUAUCCUAAGGAACACCGGUGGCGAAAGCGGCUUACUGGGUCUUUACUGACGCUGAGGCACGAAAGCUAGGGUAGCGAACGGG
RNAcentral lists this ribosomal RNA (253 nucleotides) under uncultured bacterium. RNAcentral describes it as "partial 16S ribosomal RNA". It matches the Rfam family "Bacterial small subunit ribosomal RNA", at positions 524 to 776 of the family's 1533-position model. The record is from RNAcentral.